This 253-nucleotide ribosomal RNA is filed under the name uncultured bacterium. RNAcentral's name for it is "partial 16S ribosomal RNA". It matches the Rfam family "Bacterial small subunit ribosomal RNA", at positions 524 to 776 of the family's 1533-position model. The record is from RNAcentral.
UACGGGGGGGGCAAGCGUUGUUCGGAAUUACUGGGCGUAAAGCGAGCGUAGUCGGUUAUUUAAGUCGGAUGUGAAAUCCCCGGGCUCAACCUGGGAAUUGCAUUCGAUACUGGAUAGCUAGAGUUCGGCAGAGGGAAGCGGAAUUUCUGGUGUAGCGGUGAAAUGCGUAGAUAUCAGAAGGAACAUCAGUGGCGAAAGCGGCUUCCUGGACCAGAACUGACGAUCAGGCUCGAAAGCGUGGGGAGCAAACAGG